CGCGUGGCGGCGUGCUUAAUACAUGCAAGUCGAACGAAGCACUUUUGACAGAUCCCUUCGGGGUGAAGAUGAUUGUGACUUAGUGGCGGACGGUGAGUAACGCGUGGGGAACCUGCCUCGUGCUGGGGGAUAACAGUUAGAAAUGACUGCUAAUACCGCAUAAGCGCACAGUAAGGCAUCUUACAGUGUGAAAAGAUUUAUCGGCAUGAGAUGGACCCGCGUCUGAUUAGGUAGUUGGCGGGGUAACGGCCCACCAAGCCCGCGAUCAGUAGCCGACUUGAGAGAGUGAUCGGCCACAUUGGGACUGAGACACGGCCCAGACUCCUACGGGAGGCAGCAGUAGGGAAUAUUGCACAAUGGGGGAAACCCUGAUGCCAGCGACGCCGCGUGAGUGAUGAAGUAUUUCGGUACGUAAAACUCUAUCAGCUAGGGAAGAUAAUGACGGUACCUGACUAAGAAGCCCCGGCUAACUACGUGCCAGCCGCCGC
This 488-nucleotide ribosomal RNA is filed under the name uncultured bacterium. RNAcentral's name for it is "bacterial SSU rRNA". It matches the Rfam family "Bacterial small subunit ribosomal RNA", at positions 37 to 518 of the family's 1533-position model. The record is from RNAcentral.